Long non-coding RNA from Triticum aestivum (bread wheat), 1840 nucleotides. RefSeq lists it as uncharacterized. Lineage: Eukaryota; Viridiplantae; Streptophyta; Magnoliopsida; Poales; Poaceae. The transcript has 5 exons. The record is from RefSeq and is a predicted model, not a curated record.
GCUAAAAGAGACGUAUUGUUGUUGCUUCCCUACAAAUAAAAAAUCUUACUCUUGCCCGAUCCCUUUUCUCCUUUCCUUCUUCUCUCCGCUCGCUCAUUCCAAAAUUCAUACGAGCGGAUGAGAUCCGACUGCUCGACUCGCAGGUGAUGUGGGCUUGGAUCUUGUCUUCCGCUGCCAGCUUGAAUCCAUCUUGAGCGUGAGGAUGGCGGCAGCGUUGUCUUCCCCUAGCGCGCGAGUCGGACGCAUCGUCGUUGUUCCCAGUCGAGGCAGACCGACACAUCGUUGUCAUCCUCCACAUUGGCAACUUUCUUCGACCUACAGGGGGAUGUGGAACCUCGAGUGUGCUCCCUAUAGAAGCAGCUCUGCAAUAUGAGAUGACAUCACUGCUAGUACUAUCUUUCCUUCGGAACACAACUUUGCUGUGAUUGCCUUCGUAGGUGGAAACGCAACCUUUUGAUGCAGAGAUCUUGAAAGUGCAUUUUGAACUGAAAUAGUCUUCAGCACGCAUCAUUGCGUGAUAUAAGGAAGUAACCAAGGGCUUUGAGCUCUACCAGUGGAGAUGGGGAUGAGGACGAUGUCCAAGACGGCACCUGAUCUGGACCAAUCCACCUCUAGUGUUGGUGCCCUACCACCAUGAGAGCGGUCAGCAGCAGUCUUCGCCAUCCUCGCGCUCAGUACGGCCUAGUCAAUGCAUGUUUACCUUGGAUAUUUUCUAUAACUUGGAUACUAAAUAUCACAUAGAUAUUACCUGAUUUCUACUUGGACAAAUCGGUCUCUCAAACAGCUAACGAAUGAAUGUAGUGCAUCUUAGAAAAAUAAAUCAAAUAAUUGUGGUUGAUGAUGAGGCACUAAUGGCGAAGCCGUCGCGGGGUGAGAGUCGUGGAAUCAACAUACCCCAGCCUCUCUAUUGAUCAAAGGAUUGAUUGGACUAAACAUCCACGUAUAUAGCUAGCAGCAAAUCAGAUUGAUUCCUCCUGUGCGUAGCUAGCAAGGCUACCUAGCUGAUUGAUUUUCGGCCAGCCGGAAAUGCGCACACACACGAAACAUGCUGUAGCUAAUGGCUUCAACAGCAACCGUAAACAACAAUCAUCAAAGCAGAUUGAUUCCUCCUGCCAUGCUUAGCUAGCUGAUUAAUUGAUUUGCAGCCGGCCAGAAACGCAUCUGCACGCAAAAUUAGCUUUAGCUCAUGGAUCCACCAACAAUACUUCUGGCGAAGCGAGGAAGAAAAUAACAAUAAAUUAAUCUCUACAGGGCCAAUAAAUAGAGCAGUAAGGAACUGAAGGAGAAUUGGGGAUUGUUCGAGCUAGAAGAAUUAAGGACAGGUCGAUGACGGCUGCUGCAACAGCGUACGGGGGAGAAAGACCUUGUGUUUUUUUGGACGUGGCCAAGAUAACUUAUUAAGGGCAUUGGUGGGUAAUAUUUUAGAUCUUUUAAUCCAUUGGUUGUGCUUACCUAAUGUGUUUAAAUUGAUGGCUAGAUGUUUCUAAUUAUUAUGGGAUUUUCUAGCUUAAUUUUCUUUUUUCUGGUAAGCCCGUAAAGCACUUUUUAUCUUUACCUAAUAAUAAAGCAAAUUGGAUUUUUUUCGUCGGUCAUAACAUUUUUUAGAAAAGUCCCUCUCUUUCAGAGAAUUCAACCCGCAGUCCUGUUUUAAGUUAAAACGAAUUUUUUUUCAUAUUUUACACAAAAGUCCAUGUAUUUUGUUGAAAUCAACCCGCAGUCCGGAUUUAAGUCACACCCGAACCAUUAUUUUACAUUUUUCGAAACCCCCCCCCCGGAUGUUUUAGGUAAUUCAUCCGCGGAUCAUAUUUAAGUCAAACAAUAUUUUUUUAAAUUAUCCAUA